Molecule: small nucleolar RNA, 127 nt
Filed under: Saimiri boliviensis boliviensis (Bolivian squirrel monkey)
Lineage: Eukaryota; Metazoa; Chordata; Mammalia; Primates; Cebidae
Description: Small nucleolar RNA SNORA72 (ENSSBOG00000006010.1)
Rfam family: Small nucleolar RNA SNORA72
About the family: U72 is a member of the H/ACA class of snoRNAs. The snoRNA gene is located in intron 4 of the ribosomal L30 protein gene in human, mouse and chicken.
Source: Rfam by way of RNAcentral
UUGUGAAUAUUCUCACCGUUUUGAUUUAAGGACAAGCUAAACAUUCACUAUAUUAAGACCACUCGUGUGUCUCAGACCUGCCUCUUUUCCUAGGUCUGUUUUUUUUUUUCCCCCUGUGGUUUUCUUU